UCGACGUAAAGCCGGAGGAAGGUGAGGAUGAUGUCAAGUCAGCAUGACCUUUUAUAUCCAGGGCUACACACACGCUACAAUGGUCUGUACAAUGGGUAGCCAAGCCGCGAGGCGGAGCCAAUCCUGAAAGCAGGCCUCAGUUCAGAUUGCAGUCUGCAACUCGACUGCAUGAAGCCGGAGUUGCUAGUAACCGCAGGUCAGCAAUACUGCGGUGAAUACGUUCCCGGGUCUU
Molecule: ribosomal RNA, 232 nt
Filed under: uncultured Anaerolineaceae bacterium
Lineage: Bacteria; Bacillati; Chloroflexota; Anaerolineae; Anaerolineales; Anaerolineaceae
Description: partial 16S ribosomal RNA
Rfam family: Bacterial small subunit ribosomal RNA
Source: RNAcentral